RNA transcript from Portunus trituberculatus (swimming crab), 4655 nucleotides. RefSeq lists it as uncharacterized. The record is from RefSeq and is a predicted model, not a curated record. NCBI's taxonomy places the organism in Eukaryota, Metazoa, Arthropoda, Malacostraca, Decapoda, Portunidae. The transcript is spliced from 2 exons.
AACAUUGUAAUUUACUGUAAAGGGCAGAACACCACCUGACCAUCACCCCUCGUUCUGGAUCGUUCAGCCACUCCCGAGCGACACUUCGCUCAUUUCUCUCUGCCACGUAUGUCUCGAGAACCCUGCUUCUUCCGGUCACUCCACGUCUCGAGGCCCCAGUGAAUACCUAACCGAGUCUACCUCGAGCCUCACGAACACCCAGACGGCAGAGAACUUCCUGAACUCUCCAAGGACAGGCCUCUUCUCUGCUGCUCUGGCUUCAUCCUCUACAUGUUUACCGGCGCCGUUAACGAGUCUGCCUCCAGUGUUUGUGAGGUUAGUGUUCCUCUGGCCUUCAUUCCCCUCUGGAGGGGACUUAUGGUGAGAGCCGGGUGGUGCGCAAGGUAUCCCUUUUGUUAUCAUAUUGUGUAUAACUGUGUUUUUGUAUGUCUAGUAGACUUGGAACUACUCGAGGUUGUUUAUUAUCGCCCCUACCGGGUUAAGUGUCGUUCAUCCUGGGCCUAGUUUAGAGGUUGCAGGCUGGUGAUGGCGUUUCGCACCUCGCCCCCGUAACAAAUUGACUAAACUAGUUAGUUAUUACUUGCAUUUAGACGAUCUCGCCAGGAUAUUGAGCUACUUAGACUCUUUGGGGUGUUGGAUGUGUUAGUGCUGAGUUGUUCCAACUCCUACUGUUUCACCAUUUUUUUUUUGUGCCGAAGUGUUUCAGUGGUUUAAUGUUUUUCCUUCUCGGACGUAUUUUAGUGUAGUUUUACGUUCGGCCUCGGUGAAUUGAGCGAGAUUAGGUGCAGACCCUGUGUCAUUAAUCUACACUUGGCUAAAUGCAGGUUCAGUGCCUUUUAACCACUCCUCGUUCUCUUGAACGAGCAGCCGCUAAUCCGGGGGAUCUAGUCUGUUUCACAGUACCUUACUGUGGUUUGGGCAUUAGAGUAUUUUGGCGUCUUCGUAGCCUAGACGUAAUUGUAAAGUAGCCAUUGCUCCUACAGAGGAAUAGAAUAUGCUAAAUGUGUGCUUGCCAGUCAAUGCUUCUGUACAUUGCUUCUGUACAUAUACUUAUUUAAAGUGUCCUUGUGUGAGUGUCCUUGUGUGGGGUUCAUUUGUAACUACUUGUGUAGUUACAAGUGCUUGGCUGUAUGUGGUGCGAGAGAUUAAGUAAUUUCUGUCUACCUGUGAGAUAUGAUACUUUUAGGUGUGGUUGUGCACAUGUACCUGUGAGAUAUGAUGCACUUUUGGGUGUGGUUGUGCACUUGAUUCAUACUUUUGGGUGUUGUGCACAUGUACCUGUGAGAUAUGAUGCACUUUUGGGUGUGGUUGUGCACUUGAUUGAUUUUCUAUCAACUUGUGAGGUAUUUUAUCUAUUUGGGUGUUUGUGCACUUCAUCAAUUUUCCUACCCUUGUGGUUUAUUUUGUAAAUGCAUAAUUCAUGUGUGCGUGAGAAUUAUUUUGAGUUUCCAUGGUUGACUCACGGGUGUAUCAAGGGGGUUUCCCUGUCUCGGUUUUUAGUCUGCGUUGUUGGGUUUCUUAGUUUUGGUUCUAUUAUGUCUAGAUGUCUACUUUAGCUGGGCUUACAGAACAAGCAGUAAAGCUCGGCCUCCAACAAGCUUUCCAACGGGAGUAAGGAACGGUCGUGUGAAGAACGAGAACGAGAACGGGAGCGUGAGGAACUGAACGGGACGAACGUGAGAAGGAACGGGAAUUUCACUUGUCUAGUUCAAGCUUAGUUUAGAGUCUGGAGCACGUUCUACCCAAUGUCCCAAUGUUGGCGUGCAAGGACCGAAGUUUCCAGCUUGCCAAGGGGUGAUAUCGUCGCCUACCUGACCAGAUUUGAGCGUAUUGCCACGCUCUUAACGAUCAACGAGGAGGGUCUUGCUGUUAAACUUGGGAGUCUACUGACAGGUAAACCUGCUGACCUCUGUUUCACCUUUUAGCACUGAUACCAUAAGUGACUUCCCUCUCCUAAAAAGGGCUCUCCUGACUGGUUUUGACUCCAGAGCGGUACCGGCUAGACUUCAGGGCCUCAACAUCUAUUGAAAAGGGCUGAGGCCAUUAACGCUAAACCGGACCAAAGAAGCUACAUCAGGAUGGAGUGUUAAAACUGUGGGGAAGAAGGGCAUGUAAGGUGUAAGAAGGGCAUGUAAGGUGUAAAUGUCCAAAGAAUCCCAGAGCCUUUAAAAGAACCACAGGACAAAUGCAAGGUAGGAUUUUAUAUGGAUGAGCGGUCUCUCUGAUUAUGCAGUUGCUGGCACGAUCAACGGCUCCUGGGCUACUACUAUUGUCAGACACCGGCUACAACUGCGUGAUCGUCUCUGAGAAGGUAGUGCCUGAUGCUGACGUCUCUCAGCGACCUAUGGUAGUAGUAGAGGACUAUCUUGGACGGGAAGAUAUUUUUCCAACCAUUAGGUGCUAUAUAAGAUGACCAUAUUUUGAGGGUUGGAUUGAUAAUGCUAUCCUAGCUCCUACGAAGUGCGGUUGUCCUCAUUGGCAACAUCUCGGGAGCUCGUAGUACUGAUGAUAGCUAAGCACUAUCCUCCUCGCUCCAAACCUCGGUCAGUGAUUUGGCUAUGCUUCCGUCUUCUCUGCCCACUGCCUCCUCCUUCUCUUCCAGCCUCAGAAGGAGCCGCCAUUAAUGCGAGCAUGUGCUGUGGAAACCUGCAGUAGCAGAAUGAAGUGUGUUCAUCCUCUAGUUUUGCCAGAAUUGCAACCCUUGGACAUGACUCCGGAGCCUUUCGCUCGUCUUCAAGUAGUGUCUGUCUCGGAAAUCUUAGUUAGUUACCAUGGGUGAAGAGGAGCGGACAAAGGACGGCUCUACUUCCUGGUAUCUUCGCUGUACCGGACUUCUCUACCGGAUGUGUUUGACCUCGAAACAUCCAGCAAAGGUAUCCAGCCACUUCUACUGGCCUGGGAUGGGUGCGGAUAUUGGACUUCUGUCGAUCCUGUGCUGUCUGUCAACGAAUGUCUGCCAAAGGAAGAGUCCGACCAGCACCUCUCCAUCCUCUUCUAAUUAUAACGGAACCUUUUUCUAGAGUGGCGGUCGAUUUGGUUGGACCACUGUCUCCCCCAUCCACAGAAGGCCACAGGUACAUCCUCGCUUUAAUCGACUACGCCACUGCAUUCCCAGAAGCAGUGCCACUGAAGGAAAUGACUCCAUCUCCGUUGCUGAGGCCUUACACUCCAUCUUUGCUAGAGUUGGUAUACCACGAUAAGUUCUCGCUGAUCAAGGUACCCAAUUUACAUCUCGAUUAAUGCAAGAACUUCAUAAGUUGUUAGGAGUCAAGCCUUUAUUUACAACUCCAUUUCGUCCUAGCACUAAUGGUCGCAUUGAACGUCUACACGCACCACUUAAAGCUUCCCUACGAAAGCUCUGUAAGGACCGCCCUCGAGUAGCAUAGAUACUUGCUUCCUACAUUAUUUGCCCUCGGAUACCAGCGAUAGAACCUGUUUCUCUGCCUUCGAACUUCUCUAUGGAAGGAAUGUUUGGGGACCUCUCUCCGCCCUUAGAUCUCUGGGAGGACCGGAACCUGACAUCCAGUCAAGAUAUACAGUAAGAGGUAAGGUUGAUUACCUAAUUGAUUGUCCCCAAGGUCCGAGAUUGUACCACGUCAACCUCUUGAAACGUUACAUCCGUUGUGCUAGUACCAGGUUUGCUGAAGUCUUGGGACGAAGUGCAAACUCCUGAAGAGGAAAUGCCCGAAGAGGAAGAGCAUGUCCCGGAGAACAGCCACCUUAUUUGUGAAGACGACCCGAGGACGAGUGCUAUUUAUUACCAGUGACACCUGAUGGCUGCUCUGACAAGGAUAGAUGAUCCAGGAUCAACCGGAAUUUAAUUUGUCAGAGUUUGACGAUGUUCUUGGGUGUACUUCCUUUGUUGAACAUGUCUUAACUACCACUGGCCGCAUCAGCACCAAGAUUUACUUUGUCCCUGUCCAUCUAAAACGUUUCUUUGAACAGGAAGUCUGAUGGUCUUCUCAACAUUGUUCGCCGGUCGUGAUGGUGCCUAAGCCAGGCAACACUUAUCGCAUGGCCAUUGACUACCGUCAACUCAACAGCUAAAGUCUUCCAGGCUGAGCCCAGCUGUAACAUUGAGGAGGUUAUGUACAAGUUUUCAGGUUCAAGGUUUUUCAGAGUUGGAUCUCUGCAAGCCUUGUUACGAAGUCCCUUUGACAGAGCCAUGCUGCUGACAGCCUUCCCAAUCCACUUGGGCCUAAUGGAGUUCACCAGACUGUCUUUCGGCCUGGUCACUGCUUGUGCCACCUAUAUCAAGCUCAUGUGCAUUGUUCUGUUAUUGCAAACGUGUCCUUUUAUUUUGAUAAUGUUUUUAUAUACUCUUCAGACUGGGGCCCUGCAUUUAAAGACCCUUCAUACUGUGCUGAACAGGAUCAGGACCCAUGGACUUGCGCUCAAAAUCUCCAAGUGCCAUUUUGGAUUCCCUGGACUGGACUGGCCUCUCCUCUGCUGUCCUGGCUUCACCCUCUACCUGCUUCCUGGCGCCGUCAAUGAGUCUGCCUCCAGUGUUGGUGAGAUUAGUGUUCCUCUGGCCCUCACUUGCUCUGGAGGGAUACUCGUGGUGAGAGCUGGGUGGUGUGCAAAGUAUCCCUUUUGUUGUUGUUAUAUUGUGUAUACCUAUGUGUUUUUGCAAGUCUAGUAAACUUGGAACCAUU